AGUGGGGAAUAUUGGACAAUGGGGGCAACCCUGAUCCAGCCAUGCCGCGUGAGUGAUGACGGCCUUAGGGUUGUAAAGCUCUUUUCUCCGGGACGAUAAUGACGGUACCGGAGGAAUAAGCCCCGGCUAACUUCGUGCCAGCAGCCGCGGUAAUACGAAGGGGGCUAGCGUUGCUCGGAAUCACUGGGCGUAAAGGGCGCGUAGGCGGCUGAUUUAGUCGAGGGUGAAAGCCUGUGGCUCAACCACAGAAUUGCCUUCGAUACUGGUUGGCUUGAGACCGGAAGAGGACAGCGGAACUGCGAGUGUAGAGGUGAAAUUCGUAGAUAUUCGCAAGAACACCAGUGGCGAAGGCGGCUGUCUGGUCCGGUUCUGACGCUGAGGCGCGAAAGCGUGGGGAGCAAA
Molecule: ribosomal RNA, 402 nt
Filed under: uncultured Methylobacterium sp.
Lineage: Bacteria; Pseudomonadati; Pseudomonadota; Alphaproteobacteria; Hyphomicrobiales; Methylobacteriaceae
Description: bacterial SSU rRNA
Rfam family: Bacterial small subunit ribosomal RNA
Source: RNAcentral